RNAcentral lists this long non-coding RNA (817 nucleotides) under Phoenix dactylifera (date palm). Its description in RNAcentral is "long non-coding RNA (PDAC_LNC001030)". The record is from RNAcentral. Lineage: Eukaryota; Viridiplantae; Streptophyta; Magnoliopsida; Arecales; Arecaceae.
GAGUCGGUGUGAUUAGGAGGUGGAUUUAUUUGCGUAGUUGGGGGAUCAGUGACACGUUUGGGUGUCUCUCCCCGUGAUCUCCGCUGGCCUGGGAGGGAGAGGGAUGGACGGUGGGUGUUGGAGGCCAUUGUCAGUUUGAGAAUCAUGGAGCACUUGGUCCUUAACCUUCGCAUGUCCCGUUAGUAAACAAGAGUACUUCCUAAUAAUUAUCAAUGUGAAUAUAUCUAGUAGUGGAGUGGAGCACACAGAAAACAUCAGAAACAACGGAAACAUAGGCUAAGAAGUUGAUGAGUAACUUCAGUUUUACUUAAAACUGGCAGCCUCAAUUAUGAUACCUAUUAAAUAGGACGCAGAAGUUGGUGCUAAAGAUUUACACAGGUCACGUGCUCCUAUGGCGCGAUUACUUCUACGGUAUGCAAACUAAGCGAGAAUUCUACCCAUGAGACUGAUGACAACCGGUUGCGUGAUUAAUAUUAGAUUAGAUUCUGGGGUCAAGAUGUGCUCUCGGAGGUUACAUCUGCCACAAAACCCAGUACUAUGUAUAGCUCUGGGGAUGUCUGGUAGGCAUCUCAUCGGUGAGCGACAUCGCUUAAAUGAAAUGCACGAUAAAUGCGCCGAGCCGAUGCUGAAAGCGAACGACUACUUGCCGCAGCAGCGGGCCCAUAUACGAGGUGGAGAUUUUUCUCGAGUCUUGUGACGGCGUAGCAUUGAGUGACACAAAUUUUAGUAAAUCCUCCCUGUAGUUUGUGAGCCUGCACGAGAGACUGCUAAUUGGAGGAUAUAGAUUUUCGAUAACGAAAUGGAGCUGCACUCGCUA